AAUCUUGCUAUGUGAUGGAAAUGGCACUUGACCAUGGAUGCAUCAUUCUUGGUUGAUGUUUGAUGUUGUGGUGAUGAGGCAUGAGGAUGAGUUAAGAUUCGGCCUAGGUGGAGGUUGUGUUAAUGCCAUUGCAUGCAAAAUAUGAAGCUUGUUAAUGAUGCAUGUGAUGAUGGCUUGAUGAUUCUUGAACCUCCUUUUUAGCAUUUUUGUGUGAGCACAUAUGUGCAUUGGUUGCUAAAUGGAGAAGAAUCGGCUAGCAAGAUGUGUGCUAACGCCGAAUGUAACUUUGCAUGUUAAUGAGCAAUGCAUGUGUUAAAUUGAUGAAAAGGGGGAGGAUGCUUUACUAGUGUGUAUAUGUGUGUAUUAAGUGUUGAAAUCGACCCCAAAAAUGGACAUGCAUAUUCGGCCAAGGGGAAAGAAAUUAGCUAAUAUGUUGUGUUGAUGCAUGAUUUUUUGCAUGUAUGAGACUUUAAUGUCUAAUGUAUAAAUAUGGGCUAAGUGCCUUGUGUUCAUCUUUUGAUGCCUAAAUGAUGAAAUCAAUUUAUUUGUUUGACUAAGCUCAAGAGCAAAGGGGAAAUAAAACCGAUAAAGGGAAGGAAAAAGUGGUUGAAUAGCUAGCGGAAUCGUUCGACAACACCCGAGGUAAGUUCUUGAGUAAGAGAGCUUAAAUUUCGAUGUGAUUAAAUCAUGCUCUAUGUGUGGCUAUUGAGCCGAAUGUGCAAGGACAAUAUGUGCCUUGUGUUUGAGUUUCGUAAACGAAAAUGAAAUAUGAAUGUGCCAUGAAUUAUUGUUAGAUGUGCAUGAUUAAUUGAAUGCUGUCCGGGCUAAGUCCCGAAGGCUUUGUGCUAAGUGAAUAUAUCCGGAUUAAGAUCCGAAGGCCUUUGUGCGAGAUACUAAAUCCGGGUUAAGUCCUGAAGGCAUUCGUGCGAGUUGUUAAAUCCGGGUUAAGUCCCGAAGGCAUUCGUGCGAGUUGUUAAAUCCGGGUUAAGUCCCGAAGGCAUUCGUGCGAAUUGUUAAAUCCGGGUCAUGUCCCGAAGGCAUUGUGUGAGUUACUAAAUCCGGGCUAUGUCCCGAAGGCAUUUGAACGAGGAGCUAUAUCCGGUUAAAUCCCGAAGGUACGUGAUUUGGUAAUGAAUGAGCUUGCGGUAAAAUUCCAGCGAAUACUCGAAAAACAUCCCAAUAUGGGGAUAUGUUACGUAUGUGUUGAAUUUAAUCGAGCCCUUACAAAUAAAUGUUCGCUCAGUUGAUAAACGAGCUAUCGGCCUUCGGCUAAGUUAGUCUAUUGUGUAUGUGCAUAAGGGUUGUUAAUGUUGUGAAGCAAGUUUAAUAUCGAUAAAUUGCGUAUUAUGAAAUAUUCCGUUUAGCUAAAUGUGUGAUAUUCUUUGUUUAUGCUGGAAUUCCUUGCUCAAACUUACUAAGCAUAAAUUGCUUACUCGUUACAUUGCUCCUCUGUUUUAUAGAUUUUUGGUUCUCCAGCUAUCGGACUCGGGAUCUUGAAGUC
Molecule: long non-coding RNA, 1501 nt
Filed under: Gossypium barbadense (sea-island cotton)
Lineage: Eukaryota; Viridiplantae; Streptophyta; Magnoliopsida; Malvales; Malvaceae
Description: long non-coding RNA (GBAR_LNC000607)
Source: RNAcentral